GCCAGGCAUGGUGGUGCAUGCCUGUAGUCCCAGCUACUUGGGAGGCUGAGGCAGGAGAAUUGCUUGAACCCAGGAGGCAGAGGUUGUGGUGAGCUGAGAUUGCACCACUGCACUCCAGCCUGGGUAACAGAGCGAGACUCUGUCUCAA
RNAcentral lists this non-coding RNA (148 nucleotides) under Homo sapiens (human). Lineage: Eukaryota; Metazoa; Chordata; Mammalia; Primates; Hominidae. The record is from Rfam by way of RNAcentral.